Long non-coding RNA from Oreochromis aureus, 1366 nucleotides. The record is from Ensembl. NCBI's taxonomy places the organism in Eukaryota, Metazoa, Chordata, Actinopteri, Cichliformes, Cichlidae.
GGGGAGGAGCGUUGCCAUGUGUUCGUGUAACAUGGAGGGAGAGCUGUUCUUCAGCGUGCACUGGAAGAACAUCGAGCCAUUUGCCCAGUUACAGAAAUUGAAGCAAAGGAAGGUGAUGAUGUCAUCCUCCAGUUUCAUGUGGAUCCCCCUGUCAACCUGUCUGCGUUCACCAUGGAUUGGUCAAGAACCAACCCGAGUGUGGUCGUCUACUCCUAUCGACACCAACAGGAGUCACAUAACGCAGAGAUGAAUGCAACAGUCAGACGUGAAGACCUGAACAGAGGAAAUCUGACACUGUGGAUCCCCUCAGUACAGAUGUCCCACAGUGGAAAAUACACAGGCUUCGUUAUGGACCUCGGGAUCAAGUGUAGUGUUCAACUUAAUGUAACAAAAGACAAACUGAAAAAGCAAAAGGGGCAUGAUGACUUAAGCACAACUGGAGCUCCUCUCAACACGACGGUGGAGAAAGUCGGUCCACCUGCUGGAUUAGCUCCUGGAUUAGCUGCUGGAUUAGCUCUUCGAUUAACAACUUGCUGGAGGCUAUUCAAAUUAGCCACACCGUGGGAUGUAAGGAGCUCUCUGAUUGGUUGGUCAGACACAGGCUGUCUGCCAGGCUGGAUUUUUCUAGCUCAUAGCUUCUCCCUGCUACGGCGUGUGUGUGCUUGUACAAAGGCCGUUCAGCGUCGGGAUUUACACUCGGCUCGACACGGAUAUGUGAAGAAUGAAGGGACCCUGCAGCGAAACGGAGAGCCAACCUCUGACUGAGUGCCUGUCUACACAGUCUGACCACCUGUUGAAGGGCUGUUUGAUGACGAUUUGGACUCCUCUGGGAGAUGAGGACACACCCACAUCUGUUCCAUACUGCAGCCAUUGAUGGUGUUACAGCUCUGAGUCAGCUUUGGGCCAUCAGAUGCACACACUGGAAAACCAGCACCUGGACUUCAUGCAGGAGAGACUGCCUCAGUGAUGGACUCUGCAUCCUCUAAUCUCUUUCUUCUUUAACACACAAUUAAAAUCACUCCAAAAGAGUGUAAACUUACUGAGGAAGUCUCUAACUUGUACACAUUUGUACAUUUACUUGUUUUAUGAGUUAUUUUUAAGAAGAGUAAAGUUAUUCACAUAAAGUUGUUAUUCUUCUGUAUUUAUUCUUUUGUAUCAUGUACCACAGUCAUACUGAACUUUACAGACCUGGUGAAUUGGAGAAAACAAAGAUCACACACACACACACACAUAUAUAUAUAUAUAUAUAUAUAUAUAUAUAUAUCUAUCUAUCUAUCUCAUCAUUCAGCUUCAGCAGUAUUUCUAUUCAUCUUAUGAAUUCCAGUCUAAUGUCAGUUCACUGAGUUCAGUUUUGGUCUUAAACUCC